RNAcentral lists this ribosomal RNA (253 nucleotides) under uncultured archaeon. RNAcentral's name for it is "partial 16S ribosomal RNA". It matches the Rfam family "Archaeal small subunit ribosomal RNA", at positions 474 to 727 of the family's 1478-position model. The record is from RNAcentral.
UACCCGCAGCCCGAGUGGUGGUCAUUAUUAUUGAGCCUAAAGCGUCCGUAGCCGGACUCGUAAAUCCUUGGGUAAAUCGGGCAGCUUAACUGUCCGAAUUCCGAGGAGACUGCGAGUCUUGGGACCGGGAGAGGUCAGAGGUACUCCAGGGGUAAGGGCUAAAUCUUGUAAUCCUUGGGGGACCACCAGUGGCGAAGGCGUCUGACUAGAACGGAUCCGACGGUAAGGGACGAAACCCUGGGGCGCAAACGGG